This is a long non-coding RNA of Neltuma alba, 378 nucleotides long. RefSeq lists it as uncharacterized. The record is from RefSeq and is a predicted model, not a curated record. The transcript is spliced from 3 exons. NCBI's taxonomy places the organism in Eukaryota, Viridiplantae, Streptophyta, Magnoliopsida, Fabales, Fabaceae.
AAUGUAUCAUAUUAUAAAUAUCCAUUUAAUUACCUACAUGCACAUCUCAUUUAUUUAUUUGCUUAAAUUCAGUAUACUCACAUCGUCACUCCUAUGAAAAUGACAAGAACAAUAUUUUCUUCACAGGAUCCAGUGAUUGGAGGUAGCUUACUUUUGACAUACACAACUGGUUAUGUUUCUCCUUUACUUAGCUGCUUCUUUCGCUGGGGCAUUACAGAGCCUGCUUUCAUUUCGCAAGUUCUCAGCAUGGAUCAAUCCUAUGAGUGGAGCACUUCUGUUAGGAGGUGGUCUGUACACUUUCAUGGAUAGGGUAUUCCCAACAACAAUGGUGAUGUAGAAUAAGGAGGAAUAAACAUCUCUUAGGUCGUAAGUUCUCAA